This 1980-nucleotide ribosomal RNA is filed under the name Triticum aestivum (bread wheat). Its description in RNAcentral is "partial small subunit ribosomal RNA". Lineage: Eukaryota; Viridiplantae; Streptophyta; Magnoliopsida; Poales; Poaceae. The record is from RNAcentral.
UUUCUUUGUCUUUGGUCUCGUAGCCGGCCGCCUAUUGGGGACGGGUCGAGGGAGCGAGGCGGUGCCGCCGCCUAGACCCUCUGCGCCGACGCGAGCCGACCAACUAGCACCUGGCCGUCUCGGAGUCUCUGGUAGCUAACCUCCCCUCCCCUCCCCUCCCCCAACCCCCCGCCCCUUUUGUCUCCCUCCUCUCCUGGCCGCGCCGCCUCUAGGUAGCCCCCGGUCGUCGUCGUCGUCGGGUCUAGUCUUCGACGCUAGGCGUUUUGAUUCUUUCCGGACAACAACACAAACACGGAGGCGGUACAGACACGUAGUUCCAACCCGUCUAGAUGGUCUACAGGACGAAGUAAGGUAGUAACGAGACUGUCCGAGGAAGAGGCUGGAGGAACGGAACCGAACGUGGACGGCGAGAACCGCACUCCGGAAGAAGAGAAAAGGUAGUUUCAGACGGAGGAGCUGCUAGAAGGGCGGACACGAGGACGUUGGACUACAGGGGCCCGCGAGAGGUACAGUGGUGGGGAAACCACUAUUUGCAGGUACAGUCCAGUAACUAGGUCGGUCGGUUGUGAGUGCGGAAACAACAGUCUAAGGGGAUCAAUUGGAAAGAGCAAUGGGGGUCUCAGGAGACCCGUCGAAAACGAAGGACCCGCGAAGAAUACCGGUAGAGUAGAAGAGGUCUUUGUCUAGUACAGAGCAACAACUACGUAAAUGUCCACAAUCAAGAAGUGGUGGUGUCUAAGGUCCACUGCUUAAGUGACUCCAGAUGAUGCCACGGGAGUGCCGAGGAGAUCGUAGUGGGUUGGGUGUAGAGGAACAGUGGUUGCCUAGAGUGUCAAUGAAAACCGCAAAACCAUCAGUGAGAACCAACUCUCGAACAGGAACGCUACCUUGCCAGUUCGUCUAACAGUGGAAGUUUCCGGUCCAGAAACCGUACCUGAGACCACCGUACGAGAAACAAUACGUGAACCACGGAGCCUAAGCGCAUGCCUACUACCCUCAGUCAACCCCCCUUUAGAGGUGCGCAGUAGAACGGUUGGAUAUGGACCAACGCACACCGCUAUACGAAGAGAACCAGCCCACAGCCCCCAGCAAAGGCCGUUCUCCCCUAAGGAAGCUUCGGAAGGCGGAGCUGGUCAGCUGGCUUGUACGUUUCACCCACUCCCACCUCCUCAACGUCUUAACCCGUUAGAAGUAGUCGUGACUGUUCUCUUCGGUUGGUAAUAGGAAGUACUUGGGCCUUUCCACCCCUCCCUCCUCGUUGACGCACAUGAUGAUAAGGGUACUAAGACUUGUGACCCGACGUAAACUCAACCCUUUCGGACGGAGGUCGGCUUUGUCGAAACAAAAGUAUUCGAGAUCGUUACAUCACGUUGGAUGCACCCAACAGGGAUCGUACAAGAGGGUCACACCACUACCAACUACUACAACUACGUAAGGAACCAAAUCCGUAGCCGAUAAUGACGACCGACCUCGUUGACUCGUUGAAGGCGACAUUCUCACACAUUCUUACACAAGACUUUGUAGCCAUCCCUAUUAAUACAUUAAUACAAACAGUAAUGAGACUACCAUAUUAACCUCGUACCGUUAUAAAACAUGAGUUAAAGAACGGACUACCAAGUCUUAAGUACCGUCACAACACUCCGUAAUAAUUACGUGACUACGAGACAAAAAACAUGAGUUAUAAAACGAAACGACGAACACGGGUUAAAACACGAAGUUUAGGACUUGACCAAUGACCUUGACAGUUAAAGUCACACGAUGUGUAGCCACUAAAACUUACAAACUAAAACCUACAAGGUAAGUACACGAAAACAAAGCUUGUAGAGUUAGGACUAAAGAAGUUUAAGACGGUUUAGACUUACGGAACAGAGGUUUCUCAGGGCAUGCAAUUACUUUGUAUGUACUUUGUACGUAACCAACUAACCACAUGUUACCGACACCCAACAGGGGUGAGGGGUCGUACAAGAGGACCACAGACAC